GAGAAUGUAGCUCAGUGGUAGAGGACUCACCUAGCAUGUGUGAGGGCCUGGGUUCAAUUCCCAGUACCCACC
RNAcentral lists this transfer RNA (72 nucleotides) under Marmota monax (woodchuck). It matches the Rfam family "tRNA". Rfam says of the family: Transfer RNA (tRNA) molecules are approximately 80 nucleotides in length. Their secondary structure includes four short double-helical elements and three loops (D, anti-codon, and T loops). Further hydrogen bonds mediate the characteristic L-shaped molecular structure. tRNAs have two regions of fundamental functional importance: the anti-codon, which is responsible for specific mRNA codon recognition, and the 3' end, to which the tRNAs corresponding amino acid is attached (by aminoacyl-tRNA synthetases). tRNAs cope with the degeneracy of the genetic code in two manners: having more than one tRNA (with a specific anti-codon) for a particular amino acid; and 'wobble' base-pairing, i.e. permitting non-standard base-pairing at the 3rd anti-codon position. The record is from Rfam by way of RNAcentral. Lineage: Eukaryota; Metazoa; Chordata; Mammalia; Rodentia; Sciuridae.